AAAGAACACAGUGGUUCUUAACCUGGAGUCCUCAAACGGGGGGCCCGGCCGAUCCACUGGGGGCCCCGGCCCGGCCGAUCCACUGGGGGGAGGGGUACCCCAGUGGGAUCAGUCACACACUUCAAAGUGUACACUAUAUUAACGUUAGGGACCAGUCACACACUUCAAAGUGUACAGUAUUUUAAUGAUCGGAUAAAUCAGGCGUACAUCAAGUAUACAACAGAAUACUAACAGAUCUAGAAUCAGAGAGAAGACAUGAUCAGUUUCUACAUUACCCCCCCAGACGGAUCACAUCGACAUGAUCCGUUUCUACAUUACCCCCCCAGAGGGAUCACAUCAACAUGAUCAGUUUCUACAUUACCCCCCCAGACGGAUCACAUUGACAUGAUCAGUUUUCAGGCAUGUUUCACGGUUAGUAAAGAGAGAACAGGGGCACGGGAGAGAAAACAGGGGCACGGGAGAGAAAACAGGGGCACGGGAGAGAAAACAGGGGCGCGGGAGAGAAAACAGGGGCGCGGGAGAGAAAACAGGGGCGCGGGAGAGAAAACAGGGGCGCGGGAGAGAAAACAGGGGCGCGGGAGAGAAAACAGGGGCGCGGGAGAGAAAACAGGGGCACGGGAGAGAAAACAGGGGCGCGGGAGAGAGAACAGGGGCGCGGGAGAGAGAACAGGGGCGCGGGAGAGAGAACAGGGGCGCGGGAGAGAGAACAGGGGCACGGGAGAGAGAACAGGGGCACGGGAGAGAGAACAGGGGCACGGGAGAGAGAACAGGGGCACGGGAGAGAGAACAGGGGCACGGGAGAGAGAACAGGGGCACGGUAGGCAUCUCUCUCAUUUCACACCGUCUCCUUAACGACGGACAUGUUUCAGUACGAUACAGUUAAUUUCAAACCGUUGACAGAAGCGCUGCGUCGUGGUCCUGAACACAGCCUACCAUCAUCAUCAUCAUCCUCAUCAUCAUCAUGGCACUAAAACCAGAGCAGCAGAGUCGUGGUCCUGAACAGAGCCGAGUCGUAGCAAGCAAAGCCCAGGGAUCACCGUCCGUUCUUAAAAACACUGACGUCGCCUUUUCGCGACGUAAACAAGAGUUUCUAUUUGACAACACUUCAGGCAGGUCCCGUUCCAGAUGCUUCCGGUUGGUUCCUAGUGAAUCCAUCCUUGUUCCACUGCGGUCCAGUCCUCCACCGGGUCAGUAACGGUCCAGUCCCCCCCGGGGUCGGUAACGGUCCAGUCCCCCCCGGGUCGGUAACGGUCCAGUCCCCCCCGGGUCGGUAACGGUCCAGUCAAUAACGGUCCAGUCAGUAACGGUCCAGUCCUCCACCGGGUCAGUAACGGUCCAGUCAAUAACGGUCCAGUCCUCCACCGGGUCGGUAACGGUCCAGUCAAUAACGGUCCAGUCCCCCCCGGGGUCGGUAACGGUCCAGUCCCCCCCGGGUCAGUAACGGUCCAGUCCCCCCCGGGUCAGUAACGGUCCAGUCUCCCCCGGGUCAGUAACGGUCCAGUCUCCCCCGGGUCAGUAACGGUCCAGUCUCCCCCGGGUCAGUAACGGGUCAGUAAUGGCACUUCUCAGGGUUGGUCCAACAGCCUGGGUCUGAAUCUUAACAGCUGUUAGCCUGCUGAACUGAAGCCAAGGCAUUAACUUGGGGGAGCUAACAAGUCUUCAGUAAACAGUCCUGGAAUUAUCCCAAAGCAGGAGAGGGGCUGGUGUAGUCAGUGGGCAGAGCUAAGGUACGGCAGCUCCACCCAUAAUGCACUGGGCUAAGGUCACAGAGGUCGUGACCACUUCUGACCCUGCCCACAUCAGGGGUUAAAGUUCAUAUAGCAGAGAUAUUAAAAAAAAAAAAACAGUCAUGAUCCUGAAGGAUGAUGAAACACAAUCAGUGUGUGUGUGUGUGUGUGUGUGGGGGUCAGAGUUCAUAUGGUCCGUUUGACACAGGGUCGUCCACUGAGGUGGGAACAUAUGGCUGCUCAACCAAUCAGCAUCCUCUAACAUGUCCACACCUAGACACAGAAAGAGAGAGAGAGGAGGAGAGACAAGCGAGACACAAGAAAGAGAGAGCGAAAGACAGAGAGAGAGAGAAAACACAGUGAGGGAUAUUGGAAUGGAUUGCCUGACUGACUAACCCUUCCACUACAAUUUUCACGGCCCCAAAAAUCCAGAGUGGCGUCGCAGUGUCAGAGGCGUCACUACAGACCCUGGUUCGAUCCCGGGCUCUAUCACAACCGGCCGUGAUAGGGCGGCGCACAAUUGGCCCAGCGUCGUCCGGGUUGGGGGGGGAGGGGCACCUGCAGGCUGACCAGUUAAACGGUGUUUCCGCCGACACAGCAACCUUCCCACUAGCCAUGAUUGGCUGAGAUAAUGAGUGGGCUGGACAUGCCGAGAGAGUAGUAGUUCGGAUUGGUCCUGCCAUAUAGAAGGCUUCUCUAUCUGUUUGAGCUCGUCAGUCUGUCUUGGUAAUGUAGUAGAGCUGCGUAAGUGUUGCUCUCCACUUUCUGGAGGAUCAAGUUUUGAAAAAUCUGUGGAAAUUAGAGUCUGAUAGCUAAGGAGAUGGAGGAAACACCUGUCUCCGGGAUUACAUCUUCAAAACUAAGGGCAACCGUGGCGUGGCAUCCGUGACAGGGAGAGGCGUCCAUCAUGGAUCAUGGAUGUAUACGGGUAAGAUAGCUUGUUACAUUUUCAGAUAUUACACGUUUUCUAAUUUUGACAGAAUGGGGUUUUCAUUUCAAGCUAAAGUGCACCGUUAGCUAGCUAGCUACGGGUCUGAAGCUAAAGUGCACUGUUAGCUAGCUAGCUAACGUUAGCCGGCUGGCUCAUUAGCUAACGUUAGCCGGCUGGCUCAUUAGC
Molecule: long non-coding RNA, 2844 nt
Filed under: Salmo salar (Atlantic salmon)
Lineage: Eukaryota; Metazoa; Chordata; Actinopteri; Salmoniformes; Salmonidae
Description: lncRNA (ENSSSAG00000084072.1)
Source: RNAcentral